GGAAGGUGUUCAUAAGAUCGACACAGUGCAGGAUGUGCAGCAGUGCAUUGAGGAGCAGGGAGCUCUAAUGAAGGAUGUGCUGGAAGACGCACGAUUGGUCAGAUUGCAAAGGGGAGGCGGAGCCAUGCUGGCGAGGCUGAGGAGGGAAACUGAAGUGAGGUCACCAGACUGUGAAAAAAGCCGUGAGGUGAUCGACACAGUCACACACCUGUACAACACCAUGGAGGAGCAGGUGCACAUCCUGGCCAGGAAGUCCAAUAUGUCCCUGCAGCACCUGGACUUCCUGUUACAGCUC
Molecule: long non-coding RNA, 295 nt
Filed under: Sinocyclocheilus grahami
Lineage: Eukaryota; Metazoa; Chordata; Actinopteri; Cypriniformes; Cyprinidae
Description: lncRNA (ENSSGRG00000043931.1)
Source: RNAcentral